This 976-nucleotide long non-coding RNA is filed under the name Homo sapiens (human). Its description in RNAcentral is "HSALNT0374715". The record is from RNAcentral. Lineage: Eukaryota; Metazoa; Chordata; Mammalia; Primates; Hominidae.
GCCAAAAGGCCGGGCAGAGCUGCUUCGGUGUCUGGGUGAAGUUUCCAGCCAACCCAAGAAGGAAACCGAAAGGGAAGAGGCCGAGAGAGAGCCGCCUUCUCUCUAGCUACUGAGGGGAAAAGUCAGGAUGAAGCGGGUCCCUCGGCCUCCAGAAGGUGUUUUAUUACAGUCGCAAACAGGUAGAGCGGCAGCCACCCCAGUGAUGACUCCCUGCUCCUUAGAUUGUAGGGACGCUGGCACCUCACUCAUGCUCCUAAGUGGCCAUUUUGCGCCCUGGCUGGGCGAGUUAGGCAGACAAAAUGAGCCCCCAAAAGUUUAAAGGCCUCCACCAAAGGAGUAUUUCUUUUCUGAGGUGUCAUUGUAUUCCAUCCACGAACUUCAGUUCCCCCGGGUGCUCUGGAUCUGACAUGGAGUAGGAUGCUAACAUCUAAUCCCUUCUUUCCCUUUGGAAAGAUGCAUGUUUUUUCUCGGAGUCCUAGGGAAUACCUUAGAAUACUUUCAUGGUUGUCAUUGGUACACCCAUCCCUUGAGGAGCCCUGCCACCCGUAAGUAGGACUGCAAGGAAAUACAAAAUUAAGAGAAGUAUGAACCCUGAUACCCAGGAACUUAAAAUCAGGUGUAUAAAUUUUGUACACCUAAAAAAUAUGGUACCUAAAGAGGCGAACAGCAAAACAAGCAAGAAUGUGAAUCUUUAAAAUGUUUCUAUUCUUCAGCGCAGCCCAGGAAUUCUACCUAAAGUAACAUAUCCUAAGGCAACAACCAAGAAGUGUGGAAGAAUGCAUGUAAGAAGACACAGUGAUGUUUAGAAUCCUGGGGAAACGGAACAGCCAAAAAGUCUCACAGAGGUUAAGUAAAUAAUAGCAUUUUCAUACGAGUACUAUGUAGUCAUUUAAAAUUAUGUCUUUCAGUACCUAGUAAUGGGGAAAAUGUAUUCAUUAUAUAUUAUUAAAGAAAAUACAGGGUACAAAACACUGUA